Molecule: ribosomal RNA, 201 nt
Filed under: uncultured prokaryote
Description: partial 16S ribosomal RNA
Rfam family: Bacterial small subunit ribosomal RNA
Source: RNAcentral
UACGUAGGGGGCAAGCGUUGUCCGGAUUUAUUGGGCGUAAAGAGCGUGUAGGCGGCCAUGUAGGUCCGUUGUGAAAACUCGAGGCUCAACCUCGAGACGCCGAUGGAAACCAUGUGGCUAGAGUCCGGAAGAGGAGAGUGGAAUUCCUGGUGUAGCGGUGAAAUGCGUAGAUAUCGGGAGGAACACCUGUGGCGAAAGCGG